Molecule: ribosomal RNA, 1157 nt
Filed under: metagenome
Description: bacterial SSU rRNA
Rfam family: Eukaryotic small subunit ribosomal RNA
Source: RNAcentral
AUUUUGGGGAGAAUGGAUUAAUCUCUGUUUUUCACGGGAUAACUCUGGCAAUGUUUUACCUAUUUUACUUUGAAAAAAUUAGAGUGUUCAAAGCAAGGCGUUUUUGCCUAUUGAAUAUUGCAGCAUGGGAUAAUAGAAAAAGAUAGUCCGUCUUAUUUUGUUGGUUUUUUAAGAUGACAAUAAUGAUAGAAGGGGAUGGUUGGGGCGGUCUGUAUUGCCACGUCAGAGGUGAAAUUCUUAGAUUGUGGCAAGACAAACAACUGCGAAAGCAUUCCGCUAGGACAUAUUCAUCAAUCAAGAACGAAAGUUGGGGGAUCGAAGACGAUCAGAUACCGUCGUAGUCUCAACCAUAAACAAUGCCGACCAAGGAUUGGAGAUUGUUAAAUUUUAAUGACUUCCCCAGCACUUUGCGAGAAAUCACAAGUCUUUGGGUUCCGGGGGGAGUAUGGUCGCAAGGCUGAAACUUAAAGGAAUUGACGGAAGGGCACCACCAGGCGUGGAACUUGCGGCUUAAUUUGACCCAACACGGGAAAACUUACCAGGUCCAGACAGCGUUAGGAUUGACAGAUUGAGAGCUCUUUCAUAAUUCGUUGGGUGGUGGUGCAUGGCCGUUCUUAGUUGGUGGUGUGAAUUGUCUGGUUGAUUCCGUUAACGAACGAGACCUUGACUUACUAAAUAGCAGCUGGAAGAUAUUGCAUUAAGGCUAUGGAUCGGUAUUUUCGGAAGGGUCAGUCCCCCGGAGAUAGUUGUUUCCAUGGUUGCUUUUUUUCCAGAAAGCUUCUUAGAGGGACUAUUAGUGACAAGCUAAUGGAAGUUCGAGGCAAAAACAGGUCUGUGAUGCCCUUCGAUGUUCUGGGCCGCACGCGUGUUACUCUGAUAAAGUCAACGAGUUUAGAACCUUCUCUGAGAGGAGUGGGUAAUCUUUUCAAACUUUAUCGUGAUGGGGAUAGAUGAUUGCAAUUAUUCAUCUUCAACGAGGAAUGCCUAGUAAGCGCGAUUCAUCAUAUCGCGUUGACUGCGUCCCUGCCCUUUGUACACACCGCCCGUCGCUCCUACCGAUUGAAUGCUCCGGUGAAAUCUUCGGAUUGUGAGAAGCUAACUUUUGCUGACUUUGUCGGCAAAGACUCUUGUAAAAAGUUGAUUAAAUCUUAGCAUUU